AGAAACCAAAUUAAACAUAUACAUUAUCCCCUAUAAACAUCAAGGUGGGAACUAAUUGAGAAGUUGCAAAGCUAUCUCAACUCAAUUUGGAAGUAAAAACAAACAGAGAAAUCAAAGAAUACAGCAAAUAAAGCAGUGUCCACUUUCCUUCAAUGGCUAACACACAAAAUCAAGAAUCAUGGAUAUUGAAGCCUCAGAGCAGUUCUGCAGAAGUGGCAACUCCCAAGAACAGAGUGGAAACGCCAAGUUCCUUCCUUAAUCUCAUGAUUUUCACUUUUCACAAACCAAUUCAUUUUCCGGGUUUUGAGAAAAUGGUGUUCAGCACCUUGACCUUCACCCGCCUUGUUGCGCAAACUCAUCCUUCUAUCCAAACAUUGCUUCAAGCCUUCAACAACGUGACACAAUACAAUGUUAUACACAGUAUAAAACAGCACAUUAUGAGACGACGAGAAAUAUCAACUCAAACAGGCAGUAAAAAGAUAAUUACCUCAACAUGCAGCCAGUUGCCAAGACUCUUAUAGUAUGUCAACUCUUGGAAUGUGAGCAAUCUUAGGCCAGUCCUCUCCUACUUCCUUGUCGCAUCUUUGCUUCAGG
RNAcentral lists this long non-coding RNA (594 nucleotides) under Nicotiana tabacum (common tobacco). Its description in RNAcentral is "long non-coding RNA (NTAB_LNC014467)". Lineage: Eukaryota; Viridiplantae; Streptophyta; Magnoliopsida; Solanales; Solanaceae. The record is from RNAcentral.